This 1331-nucleotide ribosomal RNA is filed under the name Neisseria gonorrhoeae. RNAcentral describes it as "bacterial SSU rRNA". It matches the Rfam family "Bacterial small subunit ribosomal RNA", at positions 212 to 1533 of the family's 1533-position model. The record is from RNAcentral. Lineage: Bacteria; Pseudomonadati; Pseudomonadota; Betaproteobacteria; Neisseriales; Neisseriaceae.
CUUGCGCUAUCCGAGCGGCCGAUAUCUGAUUAGCUGGUUGGCGGGGUAAAGGCCCACCAAGGCGACGAUCAGUAGCGGGUCUGAGAGGAUGAUCCGCCACACUGGGACUGAGACACGGCCCAGACUCCUACGGGAGGCAGCAGUGGGGAAUUUUGGACAAUGGGCGCAAGCCUGAUCCAGCCAUGCCGCGUGUCUGAAGAAGGCCUUCGGGUUGUAAAGGACUUUUGUCAGGGAAGAAAAGGCCGUUGCCAAUAUCGGCGGCCGAUGACGGUACCUGAAGAAUAAGCACCGGCUAACUACGUGCCAGCAGCCGCGGUAAUACGUAGGGUGCGAGCGUUAAUCGGAAUUACUGGGCGUAAAGCGGGCGCAGACGGUUACUUAAGCAGGAUGUGAAAUCCCCGGGCUCAACCCGGGAACUGCGUUCUGAACUGGGUGACUCGAGUGUGUCAGAGGGAGGUGGAAUUCCACGUGUAGCAGUGAAAUGCGUAGAGAUGUGGAGGAAUACCGAUGGCGAAGGCAGCCUCCUGGGAUAACACUGACGUUCAUGUCCGAAAGCGUGGGUAGCAAACAGGAUUAGAUACCCUGGUAGUCCACGCCCUAAACGAUGUCAAUUAGCUGUUGGGCAACUUGAUUGCUUGGUAGCGUAGCUAACGCGUGAAAUUGACCGCCUGGGGAGUACGGUCGCAAGAUUAAAACUCAAAGGAAUUGACGGGGACCCGCACAAGCGGUGGAUGAUGUGGAUUAAUUCGAUGCAACGCGAAGAACCUUACCUGGUUUUGACAUGUGCGGAAUCCUCCGGAGACGGAGGAGUGCCUUCGGGAGCCGUAACACAGGUGCUGCAUGGCUGUCGUCAGCUCGUGUCGUGAGAUGUUGGGUUAAGUCCCGCAACGAGCGCAACCCUUGUCAUUAGUUGCCAUCAUUCGGUUGGGCACUCUAAUGAGACUGCCGGUGACAAGCCGGAGGAAGGUGGGGAUGACGUCAAGUCCUCAUGGCCCUUAUGACCAGGGCUUCACACGUCAUACAAUGGUCGGUACAGAGGGUAGCCAAGCCGCGAGGCGGAGCCAAUCUCACAAAACCGAUCGUAGUCCGGAUUGCACUCUGCAACUCGAGUGCAUGAAGUCGGAAUCGCUAGUAAUCGCAGGUCAGCAUACUGCGGUGAAUACGUUCCCGGGUCUUGUACACACCGCCCGUCACACCAUGGGAGUGGGGGAUACCAGAAGUAGGUAGGGUAACCGCAAGGAGCCCGCUUACCACGGUAUGCUUCAUGACUGGGGUGAAGUCGUAACAAGGUAGCCGUAGGGGAACCUGCGGCUGGAUCACCUCCUUUCUAG